CCGUUAAUUGAUUAUGACGUACUUGUACUGAUUGAGAUUUUAACACGAAGUGAGUGGCGAACGGGUGAGUAACACGUGGGUAACCUGCCCAGAAGUAGGGGAUAACACCUGGAAACAGAUGCUAAUACCGUAUAACAGAGAAAACCGCAUGGUUUUCUUUUAAAAGAUGGCUCUGCUAUCACUUCUGGAUGGACCCGCGGCGUAUUAGCUAGUUGGUGAGGUAAAGGCUCACCAAGGCAGUGAUACGUAGCCGACCUGAGAGGGUAAUCGGCCACAUUGGGACUGAGACACGGCCCAGACUCCUACGGGAGGCAGCAGUAGGGAAUCUUCCACAAUGGACGCAAGUCUGAUGGAGCAACGCCGCGUGAGUGAAGAAGGGUUUCGGCUCGUAAAGCUCUGUUGUUAAAGAAGAACGUGGGUAAGAGUAACUGUUUACCCAGUGACGGUAUUUAACCAGAAAGCCACGGCUAACUACGUGCCAGCAGCCGCGGUAAUACGUAGGUGGCAAGCGUUAUCCGGAUUUAUUGGGCGUAAAGCGAGCGCAGGCGGUCUUUUAAGUCUAAUGUGAAAGCCUUCGGCUCAACCGAAGAAGUGCAUUGGAAACUGGGAGACUUGAGUGCAGUAGAGGACAGUGGAAUUCCAUGU
Molecule: ribosomal RNA, 645 nt
Filed under: Pediococcus pentosaceus
Lineage: Bacteria; Bacillati; Bacillota; Bacilli; Lactobacillales; Lactobacillaceae
Description: bacterial SSU rRNA
Rfam family: Bacterial small subunit ribosomal RNA
Source: RNAcentral